This 775-nucleotide ribosomal RNA is filed under the name Xanthomonas citri pv. citri. RNAcentral describes it as "bacterial SSU rRNA". It matches the Rfam family "Bacterial small subunit ribosomal RNA", at positions 25 to 787 of the family's 1533-position model. Lineage: Bacteria; Pseudomonadati; Pseudomonadota; Gammaproteobacteria; Lysobacterales; Lysobacteraceae. The record is from RNAcentral.
CAGAGUGAACGCUGGCGGCAGGCCUAACACAUGCAAGUCGAACGGCAGCACAGUAAGAGCUUGCUCUUAUGGGUGGCGAGUGGCGGACGGGUGAGGAAUACAUCGGAAUCUACUCUUUCGUGGGGGAUAACGUAGGGAAACUUACGCUAAUACCGCAUACGACCUACGGGUGAAAGCGGAGGACCUUCGGGCUUCGCGCGGUUGAAUGAGCCGAUGUCGGAUUAGCUAGUUGGCGGGGUAAAGGCCCACCAAGGCGACGAUCCGUAGCUGGUCUGAGAGGAUGAUCAGCCACACUGGAACUGAGACACGGUCCAGACUCCUACGGGAGGCAGCAGUGGGGAAUAUUGGACAAUGGGCGCAAGCCUGAUCCAGCCAUGCCGCGUGGGUGAAGAAGGCCUUCGGGUUGUAAAGCCCUUUUGUUGGGAAAGAAAAGCAGUCGGUUAAUACCCGAUUGUUCUGACGGUACCCAAAGAAUAAGCACCGGCUAACUUCGUGCCAGCAGCCGCGGUAAUACGAAGGGUGCAAGCGUUACUCGGAAUUACUGGGCGUAAAGCGUGCGUAGGUGGUGGUUUAAGUCUGUUGUGAAAGCCCUGGGCUCAACCUGGGAAUUGCAGUGGAUACUGGGUCACUAGAGUGUGGUAGAGGGUAGCGGAAUUCCCGGUGUAGCAGUGAAAUGCGUAGAGAUCGGGAGGAACAUCCGUGGCGAAGGCGGCUACCUGGACCAACACUGACACUGAGGCACGAAAGCGUGGGGAGCAAACAGGAUUAGAUACCC